Molecule: long non-coding RNA, 1486 nt
Filed under: Sus scrofa (pig)
Lineage: Eukaryota; Metazoa; Chordata; Mammalia; Artiodactyla; Suidae
Description: lncRNA (ENSSSCG00070004268.1)
Source: RNAcentral
GCAAGGCAGGAUUCUGAGAGUGGCUGCCCUGGGAAGCCAAAAGCAUUCUUACACCUACCCACUGGCUCCUGAUGCUCUCCUGAGAUGAGGCACCUUUAAAACCUGGGAGUGCCUGUCUCCCAUAAGGUGCUGGAAAAUCAGCCUCCAGGGACUGCCAAGGAUACUGAAGCUGUUAGCUCCGGUCUAUCUCUUGACUGUCAUGUUAGAAGAGAACAAGGCUUUGGUGACAUUGCAACUUAAGAGCUGCAAAGAGGUGUAGUCAUCCUGGUGGAGGACGGAAUCCAGGUAUUCAUAAAAAGAAGUGAAAAGGGUGGAGUGAAAUCUCCUUUCUCUGUUAGAAGGAUCACCUUAAAAAGAGUAGAGGAGAGAAGAUCUUUGGAGGUUGAGUUUGGGGAUGAAUUUAUCCUUUUAAAGAGUACGAAUACGUCCUCAAUGUAUAUUCUCUGCGUCACCUCGUCUCAGUGGUUCUCAUCUCCCACUUAGAAUCACUUGGAGACUUCGGGGUUACCCAGGCUCACCCCAGACCAUUAACUCUGAAUCUCUGGGAAUGGGGACUAAGCAUUGGCAUCUUUUAAAAAUUCCCCAGGUGUGUAGCCAGGGCUGAAACCCACUGAGCUCUUUUGAGCCUCCCUUAUGUCACAACUAGUGGAGUUGUCCCACAGAGGAGAGACAGUCCUGCGUUAAAUUCCUUUGUGUGAUAGAGAAACAAGAAUGUCACGGUUAAGUCACUCAGCCUUUAGGCCUGUGUAUGUCUUAGAGGGCUUCUCUCUGAACUCUUUGCCAUCCUAAUACAAACCAAAAGCUCCAAGGUUUAUGUUUCACCCUUAAUGUCAUAUAUUGACAAGAUGCUUCUUUUCUCUUUUCCUAGUGAUGCCUUCUCAGAAUGCUAUACUUUCCCAGCAGGGAAACAUGGAGAGGAAAUGAAUGUUGGAUCACAGAUAGUUAGGUCUCAGACAGUGAUCGACAGCCAUGUCACUGCCACUGGUUGGAGGUAAUGGGGUUAUUAACCUGAGGACAUCUGCUGUCACAAGUUAAUGUUUAUCAAGAAUCUGUGGAAUCUCUUUCAAAAACCUAUUUAAGCCUGUUGUUACAAUUUGAUUAUUUUGUAAACUGAUGAGGUGUGUGACAAGUUAUUUCUGUGGAAACUAGUUCAGUGCUUUGAAAAGACUCAGUAAAUGCCAAUCAUGUUUUAAAAUAUUGCUCUCGGAGUUUCCGUCGUGGCGCAGUGGUUAACGAAUCCGACUGGGAACCAUGAGGUUGCAGGUUCGAUCCCUGCCCUUGCUCAGUGGGUUAAGGAUCUGGCAUUGCCGUGAGCUGUGGUGUGGGUAGCAGAUGCGGUUCGGAUCCCGCGUUGCUGUGGCUCUGGUGUAGGCCAGCAGCUGCAGCUCCGAUUCGACCCCUAGCCUGGGAACCUCCAUAUGCCGCGGGAGCAGCCCAAGAAAAGGCAAAAAGACAAAAGAUGAAAUAAAAUAAAAUAUUGCUCUCA